This 253-nucleotide ribosomal RNA is filed under the name uncultured bacterium. Its description in RNAcentral is "partial 16S ribosomal RNA". It matches the Rfam family "Bacterial small subunit ribosomal RNA", at positions 524 to 776 of the family's 1533-position model. The record is from RNAcentral.
UACGUAGGUGGCAAGCGUUGUCCGGAAUUAUUGGGCGUAAAGCGCGCGCAGGCGGUCCUUUAAGUCUGAUGUGAAAGCCCACGGCUCAACCGUGGAGGGUCAUUGGAAACUGGGGGACUUGAGUACAGAAGAGGAGAGUGGAAUUCCACGUGUAGCGGUGAAAUGCGUAGAGAUGUGGAGGAACACCAGUGGCGAAGGCGGCUCUUUGGUCUGUAACUGACGCUGAGGCGCGAAAGCGUGGGGAGCAAACAGG